GGAGGAGGUCGGUCCAGCUCCGUCCCCUGCCGACCUCCCGGAGGAGGUCGGUCCAGCUCUGUUUCCUGCCGACCUCCCGGAAGAGGUCGGUCCAGCUCUGUUUCCUGCCGCCCUCCCGGAGGAGGUGAUCGGCCCGCGCCUGGUUCCUGUGUUUUUUGAGCCAAUGUGUGCAGAUGCUGCUCCUGGUGGUCCGGUCCCGGCCACGCUAGUCUCUGCUCCUGGGGGUCUGGUCCCGGCCACGCUCGUCUCUGCUCCUGGUGGUCCGGUCCCGGCCACGCUCGCCUCUGCCCCCGGUGGUCCGGUCCCGGCCACGCUCGUCUUGGCUCCUGGUGGUCCGGUCCCGGACACGUUCGUCUCAGCUCCUGAUGGUCCGGUCCCGGACACGUUCGCCUCAGCUCCUGGUGGUCCGGUCCCGGCCUCGCUCGUCUCAGCUCCUGGUGGUCCGGUCCCGGACACGUUCACCUCAGCUCCUGGUGGUCCGGUCCCGACCACGUCUGUCUCCGCUCCUGGAGGCCCGGUGCCGACCACGUCUGCAUCGGUUCCGGGUAGUCCGGCUCCGGCCUCGUCUCCACGUCUGUCCUCGGUUCCUGGUGGCCCGGUCCCGGACACGUUCGUCUCAGCUCCUGGUGGCCCGGUCCCGGACACGUUCGUCUCUGCUCAUGGUGGUCCGGUCCCGGCCACGUCUGUCUCCAUUCCUGGAGGCCUGGUUCCGGCCUCGUCUCCACGUCUGUCUUCGCCUCUGGUUCCGGCCUCGUCUCCACGUCUGUCUUCGCCAUUGGUUCCUGCCUCGUCUCCACGUCUGUCUUCGCCUCUGGUUCCUGCGUUGUCUCCACGUCUGACUUCGCCUCUGGUUCCUGCCUCGUCUCCACGUCUGUCUUCGCCUCUGGUUCCUGCCUCGUCUCCACGUCUGGCUUCGCCUCUGGUUCCUGCCUCGUCUCCACGUCUGUUUUCGCCUCUGGUUCCUGCCUCGUCUCCACGUCUGUUUUCGCCUCUGAUUCCUGCCUCGUCUUUGUCUCGGCUGCCGGACUGGUGGCCUUGCCCUCGGCGCCUCCUGCUGCCUGGAUGGCGCUGCCUCCUGCGGCGCCGUCCGCCUCGACCCCUCAGUCUUCAGGAUCGGCGUCCGCCUGGAGGACAUCGCCGUUCGGGGUGGUCCCCGUGGACACUGGCCCAGCUCAAGGGCACUAGGCGUGCCAUCCUGCCUCAGCGGCGGCUGAGCAGGAUCUCGCAUCGCAUCCACCCUCCUUGAGGAGGUUCUGGACUUUGUAUUUCCCGUCAUGGACUCAUUAUUCAUGGACUCUAUUCUGCCCCUGCAAUUCAUCCUGUGUAUUUUUGAUUCUCUU
RNAcentral lists this long non-coding RNA (1340 nucleotides) under Betta splendens (Siamese fighting fish). Its description in RNAcentral is "lncRNA (ENSBSLG00000022681.1)". The record is from RNAcentral. Lineage: Eukaryota; Metazoa; Chordata; Actinopteri; Anabantiformes; Osphronemidae.